RNAcentral lists this non-coding RNA (78 nucleotides) under Geobacter pickeringii. Its description in RNAcentral is "c-di-GMP sequence". It matches the Rfam family "c-di-GMP-I-GGC riboswitch aptamer". The record is from Rfam by way of RNAcentral. Lineage: Bacteria; Pseudomonadati; Thermodesulfobacteriota; Desulfuromonadia; Geobacterales; Geobacteraceae.
CGAGACAAAGCCAAAACCUGCGUGAGCAGGUGACGGAAAGCCGCGGGUCUUCACCGAGAGACAGCCGGGCCGCCAAAG